RNAcentral lists this long non-coding RNA (223 nucleotides) under Elaeis guineensis (African oil palm). RNAcentral describes it as "long non-coding RNA (EGUI_LNC008399)". Lineage: Eukaryota; Viridiplantae; Streptophyta; Magnoliopsida; Arecales; Arecaceae. The record is from RNAcentral.
UAUGCAUUAAUUAGUGGUUAGUUUUUAAAUACUCCCGAUCGAAGGAUCGUCACGAGAACAGCAAUCAAUCCAUUUGAGAUCAGUGCACAGAUCAUCUUUCUUUCAGACAGAUGAGUCUCGAGUCUGCGGUGUAGAGAUAUUGGGGUGAGAGUGUAGGUAGUUUUUAAGAAACAACUUGUACUGAGUGUGACCAACAUGAAAAAUUACUUGGAUGUCUACUCAC